RNAcentral lists this long non-coding RNA (358 nucleotides) under Mytilus galloprovincialis (Mediterranean mussel). The record is from RNAcentral. Lineage: Eukaryota; Metazoa; Mollusca; Bivalvia; Mytilida; Mytilidae.
CUUGAUUUUGAUAAGAAUUAUUUGACAAUUCAAGAUACGUUUAUAGCAUUUGUUUAUGUUACUGUUUUCUUUAGGUGACAUGUUUAUGGCCUAAUUAACACCUUUGAUGGUCUUUAAUCUGUUGAUCACUUUACCAUGGGUUAAUUAGUUUGUUUUAUCACUACGAUUUACACGGGUCAAUGUUUACUUUACAAUUUCCUUCAAGCCAGACUAUUUGUAACUUCGUUUCUAAAUGCUUCAAUUUUUCAAUAUUUUUUUUUUAGAAAACAAAAAUCCACGAAUUUAAAAACCCACGAACAUGUAAAUAUUGCUCAAACCACGAAAAUUGAUACCCUCGAAUUAAUGUACUUUCACAGUA